AAUCAACGCUGGCGGCGUGCCUCAGACAUGCAAGUCGAACGCGAAAGUUCCCUUCGGGGAGCGAGUAGAGUGGCGCACGGGUGAGUAACACGUAGGUAAUUUACCUUCGGGUGGGGAAGUAACAGCCGGAAACGGCUGCUAAUACCGCAUAAUGCAGCGGCUCGACAUCGAGACAGUCGUUAAAGCGGGGGAUCGCAAGACCUCGCGCCUGAAGAGAAGCCUGCGGCAGAUUAGCUAGUUGGUGGGGUAAUGGCUCACCAAGGCGACGAUCUGUAGCCGGCCUGAGAGGGCGGUCGGCCACACUGACACUGACAUACGGGUCAGACUCCUACGGGAGGCAGCAGUCGGGAAUUUUGGGCAAUGGGCGAAAGCCUGACCCAGCAACGCCGCGUGAAGGAUGAAAUCCCCUCGGGAUGUAAACUUCGCAAGAAUGGGAAGAAUAAGUGGGGGUGAAU
This 455-nucleotide ribosomal RNA is filed under the name uncultured bacterium. RNAcentral's name for it is "bacterial SSU rRNA". It matches the Rfam family "Bacterial small subunit ribosomal RNA", at positions 32 to 464 of the family's 1533-position model. The record is from RNAcentral.